UUCCGCGAAUUAUUUGGACUUACUUUAGAUUAUUCUGAAAAGCACUACAUUGAACCUGCUUAUCACGAGGAAUACUUCCCACAGCGAUAGCUGAAGUAAGGGUAUUCCUUAUUUAAAUGACGACCACGCGACACAUAAAUAUGAUACAUGUGUAUGUUUACCGUUAACAUGUGUCGGGAAGUACUCGAGAGACGGCUCUGGAUGUUAAAACUUGGCUGUCAGAGUGUGCGUUCUCAGAGUUCCCUCUGCCGUUGCUCCCUCCUGUUUAUUAUACAUACACUACACAUAUAAUAUUCAUAUACAUGCAUAUGUCAAAAGCUUUGAUCGGCUCAAGUUGACGCGUAGAAAAUCUUAUGGCAACAAACAAGGAGAAAUAUUAGUUGAUAGUUGACAAUAACACCCAACCGCAGCGGAGCCAAGGUUCCCAAUUAUAAGAAACCAAUUAGGCUGGCCGCAUUAUGUACACACAUAUGCACAGAUGUACAUACAUAUGUAUGUAGAAUGUAUAUUUAGCUCUUGUAUUCCGCUUGAUAAAAAUGAUCUUGCAUAAGAGCUCUGGCUCGAUUGGCGUUCUAUUGAAUUCUGUUAGCUGCAGUUAUUACAGUUUACAGUGAAUGUAAGCUGAUAGGGAACAGAAUAUGUAGGUAGUUGUUGAACAAUUUGGUGAUUAUUUUAGAGGUUGCAGGAGCUCCGUUCUGUCGAGCGCACCAAGCAGCAGGCAGCAGGCUGCGGAAUCAGAAACGCACUGGCAUACACAUACGCACCCACACAGCCAAGUAAACAAACUAAUCGAUAAACAGCCGUACUAGUACAUCCCCUCUCUUCCACAAGCUCCACCCACACAAUCCACAAUGGACAUACAUAAGUACAUAUGUAUGCACACAUCUACACCCCGAAGGCAACGACCAAACCCAUUUUCAGGGCCGGGUUUUUUGUGCAUUUUGCGGAAACUGCACUUCUUACCUGUCAGAUAGAAAUUGUUAAACUUUUGCGCCAGGAUCAGCAGACGAGACAGCUUUACUUCGGUUGAAGACAUUUGUUGUGAGUUCAA
Long non-coding RNA from Drosophila pseudoobscura, 1051 nucleotides. RefSeq lists it as uncharacterized. NCBI's taxonomy places the organism in Eukaryota, Metazoa, Arthropoda, Insecta, Diptera, Drosophilidae. The transcript has 2 exons. The record is from RefSeq and is a predicted model, not a curated record.